CCUACGGGUGGCAGCAGUGGGGAAUAUUGCACAAUGGGGGAAACCCUGAUGCAGCGACGCCGCGUGAGUGAAGAAGUAUUUCGGUACGUAAAGCUCUAUCAGCAGGGAAGAAAAUGACGGUACCUGACUAAGAAGCCCCGGCUAACUACGUGCCAGCAGCCGCGGUAAUACGUAGGGGGCCAGCGUUAUCCGGAUUUACUGGGUGUAAAGGGAGCGUAGACGGCAGCGCAAGUCUGGAGUGAAAUCCCAUGGCUUAACCAUGGAACUGCUUUGGAAACUGUGCAGCUAGAGUGCAGGAGAGGUAAGCGGAAUUCCUAGGGUAGCGGUGAAAUGCGUAGAUAUUAGGAGGAACACCAGUGGCGAAGGCGGCUUACUGGACUGUAACUGACGUUGAGGCUCGAAAGCGUGGGGAGCAAACAGGAUUAGAUACCCCUGUAGUC
RNAcentral lists this ribosomal RNA (440 nucleotides) under uncultured bacterium. RNAcentral describes it as "partial 16S ribosomal RNA". It matches the Rfam family "Bacterial small subunit ribosomal RNA", at positions 338 to 795 of the family's 1533-position model. The record is from RNAcentral.